This 107-nucleotide small nucleolar RNA is filed under the name Echinops telfairi (small Madagascar hedgehog). Its description in RNAcentral is "Small nucleolar RNA SNORA61 (ENSETEG00000025051.1)". The record is from RNAcentral. Lineage: Eukaryota; Metazoa; Chordata; Mammalia; Afrosoricida; Tenrecidae.
AUCAUCCAUGUCCCUAAUCCCUCAAACCAAAAUAUUGGUCUUAGUGGCUAAAAAUAGGAGGAAAAGGAAACAUGAACCGGAAUUGGAGUCUUCAGUGACAAACAAGG